CGGAUGGUUGUUUGAACCGCAUGGUUCAGACAUAAAAGGUGGCUUCGGCUACCACUUACAGAUGGACCCGCGGCGCAUUAGCUAGUUGGUGAGGUAACGGCUCACCAAGGCGAUGAUGCGUAGCCGACCUGAGAGGGUGAUCGGCCACACUGGGACUGAGACACGGCCCAGACUCCUACGGGAGGCAGCAGUAGGGAAUCUUCCGCAAUGGACGAAAGUCUGACGGAGCAACGCCGCGUGAGUGAUGAAGGUUUUCGGACCGUAAAGCUCUGUUGUUAGGGAAGA
Molecule: ribosomal RNA, 285 nt
Filed under: Bacillus sp. Co1-6a
Lineage: Bacteria; Bacillati; Bacillota; Bacilli; Caryophanales; Bacillaceae
Description: partial 16S ribosomal RNA
Rfam family: Bacterial small subunit ribosomal RNA
Source: RNAcentral